GAUGAACGCUGGCGGCGUGCCUAAUACAUGCAAGUCGAGCGAACAGACGAGGAGCUUGCUCCUCUGACGUUAGCGGCGGACGGGUGAGUAACACGUGGAUAACCUACCUAUAAGACUGGGAUAACUUCGGGAAACCGGAGCUAAUACCAGAUAAUAUAUUGAACCGCAUGGUUCAAUAGUGAAAGACGGUUUUGCUGUCACUUAUAGAUGGAUCCGCGCUGCAUUAGCUAGUUGGUAAGGUAACGGCUUACCAAGGCAACGAUGCGUAGCCGACCUGAGAGGGUGAUCGGCCACACUGGAACUGAGACACGGUCCAGACUCCUACGGGAGGCAGCAGUAGGGAAUCUUCCGCAAUGGGCGAAAGCCUGACGGAGCAACGCCGCGUGAGUGAUGAAGGUCUUCGGAUCGUAAAACUCUGUUAUUAGGGAAGAACAAAUGUGUAAGUAACUAUGCACGUCUUGACGGUACCUAAUCAGAAAGCCACGGCUAACUACGUG
Molecule: ribosomal RNA, 497 nt
Filed under: uncultured bacterium
Lineage: Bacteria
Description: partial 16S ribosomal RNA
Rfam family: Bacterial small subunit ribosomal RNA
Source: RNAcentral